Lathyrus oleraceus (garden pea) is the source of this 843-nucleotide long non-coding RNA. RefSeq lists it as uncharacterized. Lineage: Eukaryota; Viridiplantae; Streptophyta; Magnoliopsida; Fabales; Fabaceae. The record is from RefSeq and is a predicted model, not a curated record. The transcript has 2 exons.
GCUGAGUAGGGUCUUCAGCAUCAAUCCAUUUUCACUUUUCAUCUUGUCUCAGCUCUCUCUCCCUCUCAAAGGCUCAUUGCUAUCGGAAAUCGCUCUGUCACGCUGGAGGCGGCGAAGCUGAUUAGAACAGCCUAUUACCACCACCAAACACAUCCUCUCAAACUCCUCUCUUUCAAUAUUGCAUCAAUUUCUUCCUAAACUCAAACAAUUUUCAGAAUCGAACCAAGAAAAACAAGAAUCGUGGGUCCUAAAAACUGAAAUUAAAUGUUGAGGGAGGGGAAUCAAGCAACGCCACCUUGGGGAUUUGAUUCCCUCAUUGGAGGAUACAUGAUGAUAACAAAUUUGAAGUAAAAGAAGCAAGGAUAGGAACUGACCUAUCGGUGAGACCGUGGCUUGUCUCAGAUUUUGUUGGAGAUGAAGAUGAAGAUUACAAAGAGAAAACCAGAGGAAUGACAUGGUGGAGAUUGGCAAUGCAACAAGGAAAUUUGGUGUGGAAUCAUGGCAUGUCAUGCAUGGCAUUAUGGUGCUUGUAAUGGAGGGAAUGAACUUGGGAGAAUUUUGGAGGCACGAAGAUAUAAGACCUAGUGAGAAUAAAGGCAAAAGUAGAUUUAUUAGGGUUUAGGAUAGUUAGUUGACUUUGGUCAUCUGUUUGACCAAAAAGUUAACAGUUGACCAAAAGUCAACUCUAGGUCAAAUGUGUCUUUUUUGUGUAAUUUUGAUUUGGCUUUGUAAAAAUGAUAUGUUUGAAGGUUUUAUGAUGGAGAUUUGUGAUGUUGUAAUGAAAUGGAUCCUUGGAUUGUAAUAUGUGUCUUGUAUUUCAAGAAAGAUGAUUUUCCCUCCAAA